CGGCUUGGUUGAGAUACUUUCUCGUUCAUUGUAGAUGCGAAACAAGUACGCGAAGUGGCAGUAGAGCUCCAGAAACAUUGUUUUGUCUACGAUUUUUACCAAGGAAGAUCAGCAACUAGAGACGUUGUGUAGGUUCCUUGUCUUUGGCGUCCCUGGAGCAUUACCAUUUGCUUGUGUCCAUACAAGACGGACUGCAUUAUUGCCGGCAGUGCACGUAUGUGACCAAGGAAAGGACAAACAUGAAAGGACACCUUCGCAAACACACGGGCGAGCGUCCCUUCAAGUGCCAAUUGUGUCCGGCUGCAUUCACUCAUAACUGCAACCUCAAACAGCACUUGCGCAUUCACACAGGAGAGCGUCCAUUUUCCUGUGUCCACUGCAAUGCAUCCUUUUCGAAGAGGGGCAACCUCAAAGACCACAUAUAUCGUCGUCAUGCAAAAUAGAAGCCCCGAAGAUGUGUCCACUCCCUCUAAUGGAGCAUCCAAGAAGUUCAAGCUUUGGAAAUUGCUAUAAACACACCACACCAGCCUCUUCAUGGAAAUCACUUUUUUAACAUGUAGCAGUUUGAUUUGACAUGAACUUCAGAUUAUGACAGGGAUGUGAAUAUGUCCUCUGACUGCUACCUCGAAUUGGUUAUAUUAGAAGGAGUGAAAAUUGGAAAUUAACGUUAGUCUAUAGAAAUGGGAAAGGAAAGCAAUGGUUUCACCAUGGUGUUUAAGUUUCAAUCAGUGUAAAGAAAUUGUGCCUGUCUUUAGAAAGCAUUGGUUCAAGCUAGGUAGGUGGUAAGGCAUACUCUCACCUUACAAGUCUGUUCGACAAUGAGCAUAUUCUGAGAAAAACGGUCUUGUAGGUAAGUUACCACAAUACUUGGUGGUGGCACUUUGCUUUUUUUUCAUGCAGCAUGUUAAAAACGAUUUUGAAACAAGUUUAUGGCAGAAAUAUUGUGUUACACAUUACGGAUUUAGAUUUAUUGUCUCGUAUGUUUCUUUUGUUGUGUUGUACUUUCAAGUCAACGGUAUGUCAAAAAUAACAUCAAUGAACAGUCAACUUUCUUUCUACUCUGCCACUUACCAAGGAACAUAAAUGGAGUCAAAUAUGUCUUCAUUCUCUUCCACCAUUAAACAUAGCACCAUUUGCACUUUGAACCACCGUUAUUGUGAUACCUUUUCAGUAUGUCAGAUUCAUUUCGUCCAUGAAUUUUUACAUUUAUAUAUAUAUAUAUAUAUAAGUUGGGGCAUUUGGUGUGCCUAGGAUUACAAAUAUUUGAUGCCUAAAUUAUAUGUAGCGCUUUGCUAAGUGGAUGUGUGCAUCGUUCACUGGAACACAUUGAAAUAGUUUUGAUCAUUGAGGCAUGCCAACUUGGCUCUCCACAAGUGUCGUCAGUGUUUAGCCAUCGUGUUCAUUUAGGAGAGGCAGUUACAUAUAGCGAUAAAGUGUAAUAUGUAUUUA
Molecule: long non-coding RNA, 1449 nt
Organism: Rhipicephalus sanguineus (brown dog tick)
Lineage: Eukaryota; Metazoa; Arthropoda; Arachnida; Ixodida; Ixodidae
Exons: 3
Source: RefSeq, a predicted model, not a curated record